GAAUGCCACGUGGGUACAUGCGAUCGGGCUGCAACUGAUGCAUAACACUCCAAACCCAGGAGAAAACCAAUGUGAUUAUCCAAAUAAAAUAAUUUAAGAAAAUGAUCGCCCUUUCGGUUUGGUAUUCUUAAUUUGAGAAAUCCUUUGUCCUUUUUUUGGUUAAAAAAAAAAUCCUUUGUCGUUUGUGUAGAUACAAGUACAAUGUUCUUGUAAUGGAGGACCCCACAAGUGGUAACUAUUUAGUUUCUCUAGUAUACAGUCGUUAACGUCAUCGUCUUUGAAGAAUCAACGUAGUGCUUAUAUAGUUAUACAUCUCGGCAUGCUUACUUUCUGAGGUAUUUGUUGACUUUUUCAGGUGCCGUUAAUUUUUCUUUUAAAUUUUAAUUUUAGUCGGUUAUUUUCUUAAAUUUUUAUAAAAUGCCAAUUUUUCAUUGAACUUUAAUUUUAGCCGAUUAUCUUUCUGAACUUUUAUAAUUGGUCAGUUUAUAGUAAUGAACUUGUUGAGAUUAGUAAUUAUUAUUUUGAUUUGAAUUUGGGUCUAGAAUUGAAAUAGGUGAAUCGAGACGGUCGUGUGAAUCAAGUUACAAGGAAGACUAAUGAAGUGGCAUCACAACCCAAAUUGUUGCUAAAAAGCAAAACCAUGGAGAAGAUUCAUAGUUAUCCAUAUUAGGGAUAAGUUCAAACAAAAAGUGUACAAAUUGAAUUAGUGGAAGAGAAGAAGGAAAAAAAUAUAUGUUGUCUAUAUUAGAGAUAAAAUUACCUUUUUGCUCUCUGACAAUUGUCAUGUGCCGAGAUGGAUAGAAAAUUGGAUGAAAAAAUUUAAAAUCUAAUGUUAGGAGGGAAGUGGCCAAUUAUAAAAGUUUAGGGGCAACGACUAAAAUUAAAGUUUAGAAGGAAAUUGGUAAAUAAUAAAAGCUCAAAGAGGUAAUUGGCUAAAAUUAAAGUUUGGAGGAGAAAUUUGUCAAUUCCUUACAAGGUUGUGGGAGGUUAGGGGCCACAAAUACUUUUACUUUUUUUUUAAUCUCCUUUUGAGUUUUUAAACAAGUGACACACACUUAUUAGAUAGUGGUGCCACUAUAAUUAUGUCUUGUAAGCUUCGCAAAAUUUACUAACCAUGGGGUUAUAGAAGCUGUAUUUUGUUUAUGUUUCUUUCUUAUUGUUUGGACCCAAAUUUACAUCAUUGGU
Molecule: long non-coding RNA, 1185 nt
Filed under: Malus domestica (apple)
Lineage: Eukaryota; Viridiplantae; Streptophyta; Magnoliopsida; Rosales; Rosaceae
Description: long non-coding RNA (MDOM_LNC002413)
Source: RNAcentral